AUUGAACGCUGGCGGCAGGCCUAACACAUGCAAGUCGAACGGUAACAGGAAACAGCUUCUGUUUCGCUGACGCGUGGCGGACGGGUGAGUAAUGUCUGGGAAACUGCCUGAUGGAGGGGGAUAACUACUGGAAACGGUAGCUAAUACCGCAUAACGUCGCAAGACCAAAGAGGGGGACCCUCGGGCCUCUUGCCAUCGGAUGUGCCCAGAUGGGAUUAGCUUGUUGGUGGGGUAACGGCUCACCAAGGCGACGAUCCCUAGCUGGUCUGAGAGGAUGACCAGCCACACUGGAACUGAGACACGGUCCAGACUCCUACGGGAGGCAGCAGUGGGGAAUAUUGCACAAUGGGCGCAAGCCUGAUGCAGCCAUGCCGCGUGUAUGAAGAAGGCCUUCGGGUUGUAAAGUACUUUCAGCGGGGAGGAAGGGAGUAAAGUUAAUACCUUUGCUCAUUGACGUUACCCGCAGAAGAAGCACCGGCUAACUCCGUG
This 489-nucleotide ribosomal RNA is filed under the name uncultured bacterium. RNAcentral describes it as "partial 16S ribosomal RNA". It matches the Rfam family "Bacterial small subunit ribosomal RNA", at positions 30 to 507 of the family's 1533-position model. The record is from RNAcentral.